ACACUCAGCAUUUGGCAUUUGAUGGGUGUUAUAUACGCAAUGGAGGCAGAUUUGGGGCACAGAGAUGGAGAAAACUGAAUUGUGCCACACAAUUGAGUUGGAAUUCUGACUCCCCAGAGGCAAUCCAGGAGACAGGGGUUUCCCAGGGAGCAGGAAGAAACACUGAUCCCACUAUCCAUGUGAGAAUAGGAUACACAGCAUUAAGAAACUCUCUGGCUCACACUAACCACCUGCCUUGAGCCAAGGUUUUGUCCACUGCUGGGGGUCAGACAGGUCUGGGAAUGUCUAAUGGACUAGAAGGGUAGCCCAACAAAGGAAUGUUUGCAUGGAAGCUGGUAGCCUCAUUGCUGAAUCUGAAGAUGAACAUACAUUGUGACUUGGCAACUGACAUCCUUCAAGUCAACUUUCAUGGGGGCUAAAGAAACUCACGGAUGGUCAUUUAUUACAAGGAGACAAAGAGGAAAGCACAACAAACAGGUCUGGCAACAAAGCCAGGGAUGUGAGCGUUGAUUGCAAAUAUAUUACUGGAGCAAUUAGUCAAACAUCUGUGGACUGGACCCAUGGACAUGUCUGGGCUCUAGUUUAGAUAGAUAAAGAUUUGUUGAAGUUGCUUAUCAGCUUAAGGAGAUUUUGGGCUGAGACAAUGGGGUUUUCUAGAUAUACAAUCAUGUCGUCUCCAAACAGGGACAAUUUGACUUCCUCUUUUCCUAAUUGAAUACACUUUAUUUCCUUCUCCUGCCUAAUUGCCCUGGCCAGAACUUCCAACACUAUGUUGAAUAGGAGUGGUGAGAGAGGGCAUCCCUGUCUUGUGCCAGUUUUCAAAGGGAAUGCUUCCAGUUUUUGCCCAUUCAGUAUGAUAUUGGCUGUGGGUUUGUCACAGAUAGCUCUUAUUAUUUUGAAAUACAUCCCAUCAAUACCUAAUUUAUUGAGAGUUUUUAGCAUGAAGGGUUGUUGAAUUUUGUCAAAGGCUUUUUCUGCAUCUAUUGGAUAAUCAUGUGGUUUUUGUCUUUGGCUCUGUUUAUAUGCUGGAUUACAUUUAUUGAUUUGCGUAUAUUGAACCAGCCUUGCACUUGAUCAUGGUGGAUAAGCUUUUGAUGUGCUGCUGGAUUCGUUUUGCCAGUAUUUUAUUGAGGAUUUUUGCAUCAAUGAUCAUCAAGGAUAUUGGUCUAAAAUUCUCUUUUUUGGUUGUGUCUCUGCCCGGCUUUGGUAUCAGAAUCAAUGUACAAAAAUCACAAACAUUCUUAUACACCAACAACAGACAAACAGAGAGCCAAAUCAUGAGUGAACUCCCAUUCACAAUUGCUUCAAAGAGAAUAAAAUACCUAGGAAUCCAACUUACAAGGGAUGUGAAGGACCUCUUCAAGGAGAACUACAAACCACUGCUCAAGGAAAUAAAAGAGGAUACAAACAAAUGGAAGAACAUUCCAUGCUCAUGGGAGGAAGAAUCAAUAUCGUGAAAAUGGCCAUACUGCCCAAGGUAAUUUACAGAUUCAAUGCCAUCCCCAUCAAGCUACCAAUGACUUUCUUCACAGAAUUGGAAAAAACUACUUUAAAGUUCCUAUGGAACCAAAAAAGAGCCCACAUCGCCAAGUCAAUCCUCAGCCAAAAGAACAAAGCUGGAGGCAUCACACUACCUGACUUCAAACUAUACUACAAGGCUACAGUAACCAAAACAGCAUGGUACUGGUACCAAAACAGAGAUAUAGAUCAAUGGAACAGAACAGAGCCCUCAGAAAUAAUGCCACAUAUCUACAACUAUCUGAUCUUUGACAAAC
Molecule: long non-coding RNA, 1775 nt
Filed under: Homo sapiens (human)
Lineage: Eukaryota; Metazoa; Chordata; Mammalia; Primates; Hominidae
Description: novel transcript
Source: RNAcentral